This is a non-coding RNA of Crucibulum laeve, 119 nucleotides long. NCBI's taxonomy places the organism in Eukaryota, Fungi, Basidiomycota, Agaricomycetes, Agaricales, Nidulariaceae. The record is from the annotation of a GenBank genome assembly.
GCACUGGUGGGGUAACGGUAGCCCAUAUGCUAACAAUUGUUACAAGUAUGAAAUGUAUAUGAGAUGAUUGAUCUAGGUCUCCAGGAGGUCUGACGGAAGUUCGAGUCCUCCCUAGUGCA